AGUGAACGCUGGCGGUAGGCCUAACACAUGCAAGUCGAACGGCAGCACAGUAAGAGCUUGCUCUUACGGGUGGCGAGUGGCGGACGGGUGAGGAAUACAUCGGAAUCUACUUUUUCGUGGGGGAUAACGUAGGGAAACUUACGCUAAUACCGCAUACGACCUACGGGUGAAAGCGGGGGAUCUUCGGACCUUGCGCGAUUGAAUGAGCCGAUGUCGGAUUAGCUAGUUGGCGGGGUAAAGGCCCACCAAGGCGACGAUCCGUAGCUGGUCUGAGAGGAUGAUCAGCCACACUGGAACUGAGACACGGUCCAGACUCCUACGGGAGGCAGCAGUGGGGAAUAUUGGACAAUGGGCGCAAGCCUGAUCCAGCCAUACCGCGUGGGUGAAGAAGGCCUUCGGGUGGUAAAGCCCUUUUGUUGGGAAAGAAAAGCAGCAGGUUAAUACCCCGCUGUUCUGACGGUACCCAAAGAAUAAGCACCGGCUAACUUCGUG
This 492-nucleotide ribosomal RNA is filed under the name uncultured bacterium. Its description in RNAcentral is "partial 16S ribosomal RNA". It matches the Rfam family "Bacterial small subunit ribosomal RNA", at positions 29 to 507 of the family's 1533-position model. The record is from RNAcentral.